CCUACGGGGGGCAGCAGUCGCGAAACCUCCGCAAUGCGCGAAAGCGUGACGGGGUUACCCCGAGUGCCGUCCGCUGAGGAUGGCUUUUCCCCGGUGUAAGGAGCCGGGGGAAUAAGGGGAGGGCAAGUCUGGUGUCAGCCGCCGCGGUAAUACCAGCUCCUCGAGUGGUAGGGAUGAUUAUUGGGCUUAAAGCGUCCGUAGCCGGCCUGAAAAGUCUUCCGUUAAAUCCAGCGACCUAAUCGCUGGGCUGCGGGAGAUACUGUCAGGCUAGGGGGCGGGAGAGGCCGACGGUAUUCUCGGGGUAGGGGUGAAAUCCUAUAAUCCCGGGAGGACCACCAGUGGCGAAGGCGGUCGGCUAGAACGCGCUCGACGGUGAGGGACGAAAGCUGGGGGAGCGAACCGGAUUAGAUACCCUAGUAGUCC
This 423-nucleotide ribosomal RNA is filed under the name Escherichia coli. RNAcentral's name for it is "bacterial SSU rRNA". It matches the Rfam family "Archaeal small subunit ribosomal RNA", at positions 322 to 747 of the family's 1478-position model. Lineage: Bacteria; Pseudomonadati; Pseudomonadota; Gammaproteobacteria; Enterobacterales; Enterobacteriaceae. The record is from RNAcentral.